CCCUUAGAUGUCCUGGGCCGCACGCGCGUUACACUGAUGCAUUCAACGAGCUUAUAACCUUGGCCGAGAGGCCUGGGCAAUCUUGUUAACGUGCAUCGUGAUAGGGAUAGAUUAUUGAAAUUAUUAAUCUUGAACGAGGAAUUCCUAGUAAACGCAGAUCAUCAAUCUGCAUUGAUUACGUCCCUGCCCUUUGUACACACCGCCCGUCGCUCCUACCGAUUGAGUGCUCAGGUGAAUAAUUCGGACUGCAGCAAUGUUCGGAUCCCGAACGUUGCAGCGGAAAGUUUAGUGAACCUUAUCACUUAGAGGAAGGAGAAGUCGUAACA
Molecule: ribosomal RNA, 326 nt
Filed under: uncultured eukaryote
Lineage: Eukaryota
Description: partial 18S ribosomal RNA
Rfam family: Eukaryotic small subunit ribosomal RNA
Source: RNAcentral